Molecule: transfer RNA, 73 nt
Filed under: Saccoglossus kowalevskii
Lineage: Eukaryota; Metazoa; Hemichordata; Enteropneusta; Harrimaniidae
Description: tRNA-Thr
Rfam family: tRNA
About the family: Transfer RNA (tRNA) molecules are approximately 80 nucleotides in length. Their secondary structure includes four short double-helical elements and three loops (D, anti-codon, and T loops).
Source: RNAcentral
GCCUCAGUGACCAAGUGGGUAAGGCGUCGGUCUCGUAAACCGAAGAUCAUUGGUUCAACCCCCAUCUGAGGCU